Molecule: long non-coding RNA, 1332 nt
Filed under: Marmota monax (woodchuck)
Lineage: Eukaryota; Metazoa; Chordata; Mammalia; Rodentia; Sciuridae
Source: RNAcentral
AGAAAUUCUCUUUGCUUCCUUAUUUGCUUCAGUUCCAUGAAGAUAACCACAACCAAGAAUAAGACUCAAGAUUACUUAUAUGAAUACAUAAAUAUCCAGCACCAGAAAAAUACAACUCACAAUGCCUGGCAUUUAGUCAAAAAUACCAGGCAUAGAAAGAGUAUGGCUCAUGAUGAAGAACAAGUCAACCAAAACUAACUCAGAACUGACACAGAUAUUAAAAUUAGGGACAAGAACAUAAAGGCCUAUAAACAGUUAUUAUAACUACAAUCAAAAACCAGAAGAAAACUUUAACAUAGAAGUAGAAGUAGAAACACAGAGUCAUUUUUAAAAGGCCCAUGGGAAAAAAAAAAACUUCUAGUGAUGAAAACUAUAAUAUCUGAGAGGAAACAUGGGUCACAUGAGAUUAACAAAAGGUUAGACACCAAAGUAGAAAAGAGAAAAGAAUUUGAAGACAUAGCAAUAGAAAAUACUCAAAAUGAAAUGCAGAAUAUACUCAAAAAGUGAACAACACCAUGAACCAGGAACAACUUCCAGUAAUCUAAAAGAUAUUGCAUCUGAGGCCCCAAAUCAAGAGGAUAUUGAGAUGUAGUGGCACCCCCUCUUCCCCAAAAAAAUCUUAACUGGGCUUCUGCAGAAAUCUUCACCAUGGCUGAUUUUAGGACUGUCAUCAAAAGAAUCUCUACAAAAGAGUUCAAUGUAGAUAAACUUCCUAUUUUCAUGUUGCCUUAUUUUACUUAGCUGCUAACCUGGAAGAAAUUGGGACUCCAGGUGCUGGACACCCCUUACUAGUUUUUCACAAACAUUUAUCCAGUAGGGUUGUUUGUAGAAAUAUGAAAAUGAGACCUCUGGCCUUGAGUUGGAUUUCACAAAGAUGUCUACAUUUCUAAGAUAAGAGAAGUUACCAACUGGGCUCCAUGGUAAUAGCUCGAGGGGGAGGAAAGAGAGAGGAGAAGAAACUCUCCUUCUCAGGUGUUGUCCUUGAAGGGUUAACUUGCCCAGAACGGUGAAAGAAAAAGCUGCUUUUUUUUUCUAUAAAAGUGACUAUAUUAUUUAAAUACCCAUUUUAAAGCAAACAAACAGUAUUAAGCCCUACUUCACAGGGUUCAAAAAAUUAAUUUGAGAUAGGUUCACAGACAUAUAAAUGAAAAUGAGAAAUUAUACCCCAUUUGAUUCAAAUGUAUGAUAUGUCAAGAUCAUUGUAUUGUCAUGAGCAACUAAUAAAAAAGUGAUGUUUAAGAGAAUGUUUAAUGAAUGCAAAAAUGCAUGAAGUUUAUAAAGAUUUAAAGAAUGAUUCAGACCUGUAUAAAUAUCUGAUCUCAACUAUGAAUG